AUGGUGGCUGGGACCCUGUACACAUACCCUGAAAACUGGAGGGCUUCAAGGCCCUCAUUGCUGCUCAGUACAGCGGGGCUCAGGUUGGCGUGCUCUCUGCACCCCACUUCCAAUUUGGCCAAAACAACUGCACCCCUGGAUUUCUGUCAAUUUCCUGCUGGCAAGCUUCCAGCAUUUGAAGGUGACAGCAGAUUGUGCGUGUUCAAGAGCAAUGCCAUUGCCUCCUACAUGAGACCUGAGGAGCUUCUGGGACGUACUCCAGAGGCAGCAGUUGAAAUGGUACAGUGGGUGAGCUUUGCUGGUAGGGACAUAGUGCUCCCAGCCAUCACUGGCGUUCCCCGCCUUGGCCAUCAUGCACCAUAACAAGUAGGCCACAGAGAAGGUAAAGGAGGAGGUGAGGCGAAUUCUGGGGCUGCUGGGUGCUCACCUGAAGGUGGGAGAAGGACUUUUCUGGUGGGUGAGCCUAUGACACUGGCUGGCAUCAUGGUUGUCUGCAUCCUGCUGUGGCUCUAUAAACAGGUCCUGGAGCCUUCUUUCCCCCAGGGUCCCCCAGUACCAGCCGCUGGUUCCUCACCUGCAUUAAUGGGUCCCAGUCCCAGGCUGUCCUGGGGGAGGCGAAAGUCUGUGAGGAGAUGCCAAAACAUUUGCAGAGGGCAGCCUAAAAUGGACAACACACAGGAGAAAGAUUCUUGGGCAGAGCAGCAGAAUCCCCAGGCUGAGCGGGAAGAGGAGAGAGCGGGAGCUGCCCCCACAUCCCAAGGAGAAGGAUGGAUGUGAGCAGGCGCUGGUGCUAAGCUGAAGGCCAAGGGCCCCUUUGCUCACCUGCCCAAGAGCACCUACCUCUGUGCUGGAUGAGUUUCAGCUCAAGUACUCUGAUAAGGACACACUCUCUGUAGCGCUACCGUAUUGGCGGGGAGCAGAUUGAUAAGGAUGGCUGGUCCCUGUGGUACGCCCAGUACUGCUUCCCAGAAGAGCUCACUCAGACUUUCAUGAGUUGCAACCUCAUCACUGGAAUGUUCCAGCGAUUGGACAAGCUGAGGAAGAAUGCCUUUGCCAGUGUUAUCCUCUUUGGAACCAACAAGAGCAACUCCAUUUGUGCAGUCUGAGUCUUCCAAGCCCAUGGGCCUGCCUUUCCACUGAGUUCAGAUGGGCAGGUGGACUAGAGUCAGAGACAUGGCGGAGACUGGAUCCUGGCAUCGAGGAGACCCAGAUGCUGGAGGGAGGGUACUUUUGCUGGGAAGGGGCCUCCCAGCCUGUGGCACAGCCUUCAAUCAGGGCAAGAUCUUCAGGCAAGUAUCUCUUGCAAUCACCUAG
Hipposideros armiger (great roundleaf bat) is the source of this 1314-nucleotide RNA transcript. It is a transcript of the gene named elongation factor 1-gamma-like, with no coding region annotated. The transcript has a single exon. The record is from RefSeq and is a predicted model, not a curated record. Lineage: Eukaryota; Metazoa; Chordata; Mammalia; Chiroptera; Hipposideridae.